Pogona vitticeps (central bearded dragon) is the source of this 2910-nucleotide long non-coding RNA. NCBI's taxonomy places the organism in Eukaryota, Metazoa, Chordata, Lepidosauria, Squamata, Agamidae. The record is from Ensembl.
CCGCGGGGAGGACCAGCCGCCUCGUCCCGCCUUUUCCCUGCUUCUGCGGGUCGCGCGCCGGCCUCUCCUGCCUGGGCAGGUGGAAGGAGGAGGAGGAGGAGGAGCAGCCCUGAGCCUCGCGAAGGGAAGGAAAGGCCGCCGAGCCCCGUCCGUUCCCAGAGGAGGCCAAAGGGUCGAGGCCGGGGCAGCCCGCUUCGCCCUGGGCCCGGAAGGCGCCUUGAAGGAGAAGGGUGGAGUAGACACGUUUUCAGUCAAGAAAGGGGGAGCCUGUCUCUGGGCAUGUGCAGAAGGCCUGGGCGGACUCCCAGGGCCCCUGCCCUAAGCGAAGGGUCCCCUUCGCCAAAGGGCCUUCUUGGCCGGACACCCGGCCUCUCGGGGGUGGGGAGGGACAAACCGGGCCUCUUGGUCCUCCCCUCAGGCCGCCUGCCGGCUUCUGGCCCAGAGAGUCCAUGGAGGGAGCCAGAAGGCUUCUGCUUCCCUGCGGAGGAGGAUUCGCUGCCCAGCGGGAAGGGCAGGGAGGGCACUUGGGGCUGAACCUGCCGGUCAGCAAGCCUGGGAAUGGUCCCACUUGCCGGACUCUGAUAACCAGCAUCCUUCAGCCGGCAAGCCCUGAGCAGUUGGUUCAGCCAGAAGCUCCCCGUCGUCCUCCGGGUCACCUGGCGGAGGUCUGCCUCCUCAGUUGAGGCCGACACAAGAGUAGGCCCUCCUGUCUCAGCAGGAAGUGCGAAGCACUCUGCAUGUGGUCAGAAGCUGUCUUUUCCACCUACAUUUUCUUCUCUGAGCAGAGAUGCAGCUCAUACCUGUCUGGGUCCCUUUCUCCUCUGAAAGGCUGGAGGGACCGUUUACUCUUUUUGUUUACAGCAUUAAAGCAUUUGAAGACAGUGCCUGCCACGGCCCUUUCCAUUUGAGGGCCAAAGCUGUCCCCGCCGCCGCCCGUCCUGGGAGCUCCAGUCCAAGAAAGUUCAUUUUCCAGAAGAAUCGCCGCUUCCACUGGAUAAGCAAGACAGGGGCGAGGAAGCCAGACCCGGAAGGCCUGAGCCACUCGUUUCCGUGGAACAUUUUGAGUGGGGAGAGCGCCUUUGGCACAGCUUCCCAACUGCAACAGCCUCCCCCCCCCGCCACUCUUGUUCUGUGUAUUGACACACCAGCCCCUUGGGGGGAAUCUUAUCAGAAUGCAGGCCAUCUGACACCUGACCUCGUCUGGACAAAGAGUAGAAGGAAGUGGUUGCUUAUACAUAAAAAGCAACCGUCUUCAGAGCCCUGACUGAGCUUAAUGGGCCAAGAAUCGGAUGAACCGGUACAAGUCUUGUCCGUGUCGGAGGGCGGUGAGUGCUGCGCAAACACUUCCCCUGGUCAUCCCCAAAUCUCUUCCGAAGGGGGUCAAGAGAGGUUGUCCUGUGAACCAGACCUUCUCCUGUUCAAGAAAGUUCCCCUUUGGCCCCUCGGCUGUCCUGCCACAAUCCUUUCCAUGGACCAAACACCACCUUGGCCCCGUGGGGUCUCACCUGUGCCCCUACCCUCCCUCCCUCCCCCUCACACCAAGGGGCCCGGGGCUCCCCACAGGGCAACUGCUCUACUGAACUGGCUCUGGCUCUGGCAGCCGACCUCGGAGGCCCAGAAUCAAGGAGACCCCCCCCUUCUGCAGCUGCCUGAGCAGCAGGAACCAGGCGGGUUUGCUUUCCCACCACCACCACUGUCCUGACCUUGGAAAAGCAUGACGACUGUACAGGCCACACGGCUCAGUUGCAGGGACUGCUUUUAACAGCCCCAGCAACACAAACCCUCCAGCCACUGAGCAUCCACGGAGCGUGUCCUGUUUCCCAGGGAGCCACUGGGCCCACCUCCUCUGAGCAGGCGUGGCCGUGGAAGCCUGGGGAGCCUGGCCUUUGCAAGGUACAGAAGGAAGAGCACGUGAGCUCAGGUUGUAGGAAGCCUUUGCUGCUUCACAACAAUCCUGUUUGUUAGGAUGAUGAUCCUCCUCCAAUUAACAAGCACAAGCUGUGCAUCAACCAACCUAUCUCUUACGUCUGCUCUCCCCCAACCAGCCACCCAUGUGACUAAGCUUUCACCGCGUCUCUGGCAGUCUCUUGACUUGGGCCAACAUCUGUGCUGCCACCACGUUGCUGGACUACAACUCCCAUUGUCUCUCAUGCCACUUGCUCUGCUUGUUAGGGCUGAUGGGGGGGCAGGGGCUCACCCUUGCUUCAGGGCCCACAAGCUGAAGGAGCAGGUGCUCUGGGAGGGCCAAGACAAACCCACUACUUUGGAAAAGGGGGUGGGGGUGGGGGUGGGCUACCUCACAACCGACCCCACAGGACUAGUACUGGUCCAGGGAUUCACAGAGCGCCCAGCCCCCUUGGGCUUUGCAGUCCUCACCUGAUCAGGAUCCAGCUCCCAUCUCCUGCUCCGUUGAAUUUGGGACCCUUUUCGCACCGCAGCCACUGGACCGUCUGCCUUGCCUCUCUGUCAAUCAUUAAAAAGCCCCCCCCCUUCAUCAUGCAACCUGCACAUUAGAAGCAGGGCGUUGGCAACAGGCAAAGCAGCCUCUCCUCCCUUCCCUGAACCUCCCCUCUCAAAAGAUUUGCCAGGCCAAGGCAGCUGCCUCCCCCAACUCUGCACAAGCGUUUUUGCCUCCUCCUCCUCUAAAGCAGGUGAGCUGGUGUCUCUCUCACACACACUCUUCCCCCAGGCACCUGCACAAAGAGCAACCUGGUUGUCAGGUAACUUGAUUCCCCAGCAGGAACAAGGAAAAAGCCACACCCAUCAAUGGCAAGGUUUCAGAGACCUGCCCGGCAUUGCUCUGUUGUCAGGUAAUGGGAGAAGAAAACACAGGAACACCCUGGCUCAGGCGGGCACAAUGAGAGGAUGAGGGCUUGCCUCUGCAAUAAAUAUUGCAGCCGCCCCCCCCCA